CAAUAAGCGGAGGAAAAGAAACUAACCCAGGAUUCCCCUAGUAAUGGCGAAUGAACAGGGAAGAGCUCAAGCUUGAAUCUAAGGAAUUGUAGUCUAUAGGUGAUAACUCGUGCAGAGCCGGGUAUAAAUCCGUUCUUGGAACUGGGUGCCAGAGAGGGUUAGAGCCCCGUCUUUGACUCGGUGCAUGCGCGUGGCGAGUUAUGGCCAGAGAGUCGGCUUGCUUGGGAAUGCGGGUCAAAAUGGGUGGUAAACUUCAUCUAAAGCUAAAUAUUGGCGAGAGACCGAUAGCGAACAAGUACUGUGAAGGAAAGAUGGAAAGCACUUUGAAAAGAGAGUGAAAAAGGGCCUGAAAUUGUUAAGAGGAUAAGUGGUUGGAGCAUAUCAUAUCUGGCGGCGUCUAAGGGGCCCUUGGGCCCUGUACUAUGCCGUGGGAUUGGUCAGCAUCUAUUCUUGGCGGGGGAGAAUGUCUCGCUUGAUGUUUUCGGACUGACGGAGGGAAGAAACCCUGGUGGGGAUAGAGGCACAAAGGGCGCGCAUAGCGGCCGGCCCGCCGUGCGGGAUACUAGUCGGAGACGAUCCAUUGGCAUUUUCUGUGGCUAGUGUUCUGAUGCGGGGGAGCGCUGGAUCUGCGUCCUAAAGAUGCUGGCACAAAUGGCUUCAACCAGCCCGUCUUGAAACACGGACCAAGGAGUCUAACACAUAUGCGAGUAGUAAGGUGGCAAACCUUGGAUGCGGAAUGAAAGUAACGUGGUGGGAUUCGUGAGAUGCACCAUCAACCGACCCGGAGCAUUUUGUGACAGGUUUGAGUAAGAGCAUAUAUGUUGGGACCCGAAAGAUGGUGAACUACGCCUGAAUAGGGUGAAGCCAGAGGAAACUCUGGUGGAAGCUCGUAGCGGUACUGACGUGCAAAUCGUUCGUCAAAUUUGGGUAUAGGGGCGAAAGACUAAUCGAACCAUCUAGUGGCUG
Molecule: ribosomal RNA, 966 nt
Filed under: uncultured marine cryptophyte
Lineage: Eukaryota; Cryptophyceae
Description: eukaryotic LSU rRNA
Rfam family: Eukaryotic large subunit ribosomal RNA
Source: RNAcentral